Bos taurus (domestic cattle) is the source of this 418-nucleotide long non-coding RNA. The record is from Ensembl. Lineage: Eukaryota; Metazoa; Chordata; Mammalia; Artiodactyla; Bovidae.
CCCCACACCUCGAACCUGUCUCCCUGGCCUCAGAGAGAGCCGCCAGUCCAUCAGCUCCGUUGCCUGGGCCACGGGGAGCCAAGGGGCUUCAGGCAGCUCUGGUGACCCCUGCCCUCAGGAGGGGCAGGCAGCCACCCUUGCGCAGGACGCCUGCACCUCGUCUUGGAGGCCACAUCUUAACCAGGCGCAGAUGCACUGGGCUGAGGCGGAUCCCAGUGUGUGUUCCCUGGAGCCUGGGAGGAACCUGGAGUCGGGCGCUGAGGCUGGAGCUGGAAUCAGAGAUGGCGCUGUCUCGGGGCCAUGCCCCCUCUGGAGGCUGACGGGGCUGCAGCAGAGAUCCAGGCUUGCCCAGCUCCUGGGGCACCAGGUGUCCCUGACCCGAGGCCAUGUCACUCCAGCCUCUGCCCCCAUCUUCAUG